This 231-nucleotide ribosomal RNA is filed under the name uncultured Staphylococcus sp. RNAcentral's name for it is "partial 16S ribosomal RNA". It matches the Rfam family "Bacterial small subunit ribosomal RNA", at positions 109 to 334 of the family's 1533-position model. Lineage: Bacteria; Bacillati; Bacillota; Bacilli; Caryophanales; Staphylococcaceae. The record is from RNAcentral.
AGUAACACGUGGAUAACCUACCUAUAAGACUGGGAUAACUUCGGGAAACCGGAGCUAAUACCGGAUAAUAUUUUGAACCGCAUGGUUCAAAAGUGAAAGACGGUCUUGCUGUCACUUAUAGAUGGAUCCGCGCUGCAUUAGCUAGUUGGUAAGGUAACGGCUUACCAAGGCAACGAUGCAUAGUCGACCUGAGAGGGUGAUCGGCCACACUGGAACUGAGACACGGUCCAG